Molecule: long non-coding RNA, 252 nt
Organism: Contarinia nasturtii (swede midge)
Lineage: Eukaryota; Metazoa; Arthropoda; Insecta; Diptera; Cecidomyiidae
Exons: 3
Source: RefSeq, a predicted model, not a curated record
GUCUAAUUUUGCAAGAACUUUUUCUAUUCAAAAUGACAUCUUAUAAUUCAAAAGCAAAUAUCCUAUUCAAACCUACCCCACUUCAGCCUACACGACAGCAAAUUAUGGAAAUGGUAAAGGCGGCUGAACGGAACUUGGAGGUUGGAUUGUACAAAAAACGAAAUCGACUAGAAAAUCAAAUUAAAACCGAACUUUCUGAAUAUCAACAAGAAAUUCACCAUAAAUAUGAGUUGCUUCAUGAUGAAGAGCGCC